UCAAGGGAUCCCGUUAAAUAUUUUUAAUUAUUUAACCGGGAAAGGAACCGGGUGUAAUUCCCGGACAGUGCCGCUACUGUGAAUCCUGAGCUAAGUCGAAGGAUAAGUCAGAAAACUAGCAACCUCAAAUAUUCCCGA
Molecule: non-coding RNA, 138 nt
Filed under: Candidatus Microgenomates bacterium
Lineage: Bacteria; Candidatus Microgenomatota
Source: RNAcentral